GACGAACGCUGGCGGCGUGCUUAACACAUGCAAGUCGAACGGACUGCUUCUCAGCUUGCUGGGGGGUGGUGAGUGGCGAACGGGUGAGUAACACGUGAGUAACCUGCCCUCUUCUUCGGGAUAACGGUUGGAAACGGCUGCUAAUACCGGGUAUUCACUGGUCCUCGCAUGGGGGUUGGUGGAAAGGUUUUUUUCUGGUGGGGGAUGGGCUCGCGGCUUAUCAGCUUGUUGGUGGGGUGAUGGCUUACCAAGGCUUUGACGGGUAGCCGGCCUGAGAGGGUGACCGGUCACAUUGGGACUGAGAUACGGCCCAGACUCCUACGGGAGGCAGCAGUGGGGAAUUUUGCACAAUGGGCGCAAGCCUGAUGCAGCGACGCCGCGUGAGGGAUGGAGGCCUUCGGGUUGUGAACCUCUUUCGCUCAUGGUCAAGCCGCAGUUUUGAUUGUGGUGAGGGUAGUGGGUAAAGAAGCGCCGGCUAACUACGUG
This 486-nucleotide ribosomal RNA is filed under the name uncultured organism. RNAcentral describes it as "bacterial SSU rRNA". It matches the Rfam family "Bacterial small subunit ribosomal RNA", at positions 28 to 507 of the family's 1533-position model. The record is from RNAcentral.